GAUCAUGGCUCAGAACGAACGCUGGUGGCGUGUCUAUACAUGCAAGUCGAGCGAGGCAGCAAUGCCGAGCGGCGAACGGGUGAGUAACGCGUAAGCAAUCUGCCCCAUAUCAGGAAAUACCCGUGCCAACGCGCGGUUAAUGUCCAGGAGAGUGGCCAGCUGCAUGGCUGGUUGACUAGAGAUUUAUCGGUAUGGGAUGAGCUUGCGUCCGAUUAGCUAGUUGGCGGGGCAACGGCCCACCAAGGCGACGAUCGGUAGCCGGCCUGAGAGGGUGAUCGGCCACAUUGGGACUGAGAUACGGCCCAGACUCCUACGGGAGGCAGCAGUAGGGAAUAUUGCACAAUGGGGGAAACCCUGAUGCAGCAACGCCACGUGUGGGAAGAAGCAUUUCGGUGUGUAAACCACUGUCAUGAGGGAAUAAGGCCCGCCUUCGGACGGGAUUGAAUGUACCUUGAGAGGAAGCACCGGCAAACUUCGUGCCAGCCGCGGC
RNAcentral lists this ribosomal RNA (490 nucleotides) under uncultured bacterium. RNAcentral's name for it is "bacterial SSU rRNA". It matches the Rfam family "Bacterial small subunit ribosomal RNA", at positions 15 to 518 of the family's 1533-position model. The record is from RNAcentral.